RNAcentral lists this ribosomal RNA (460 nucleotides) under uncultured bacterium. RNAcentral describes it as "partial 16S ribosomal RNA". It matches the Rfam family "Bacterial small subunit ribosomal RNA", at positions 338 to 795 of the family's 1533-position model. The record is from RNAcentral.
CCUACGAGAGGCAGCAGUGAGGAAUAUUGGUCAAUGGGCGCGAGCCUGAACCAGCAAAGUAGCGUGAAGGAUGACUGCCCUACGGGUUGUGAACUUCUUUUAUAAAAGUAUAAAGUGAGGCACGUGAGCCUUUUUGUAUGCACUUUAUGAAUAAGGAUCGGCUAACUCCGUGCCAGCAGCCGCGGUAAUACGGAGGAGACGAGUGUUAUCCGGAUGUAGUGGGUUUAAAGGGAGCGUAGAUGGGUUGUUAAGUCAGUGGUGAAAGUUUGCGGCUCAACCGUAAAAUUGCAAUUGAUACUGGCAGUCUUGAGUACAGUUGAGGUAGGCGGAAUUCGUGGUGUAGCGGUGAAAUGCUUAGAUAUCACGAAGAACUCCGAUUGCGAAGGCAGCUUACUAAACUGCCACUGACAUUGAUGCUCGAAAGUGUGGGUAUCAAACAGGAUUAGAUACCCUUGUAGUC